AGGAGCAGCUGUGGCGGCGCGGUAGGAGCCCCACAGCGUCAGGGCGGGGAGGGCGCUUGGAGAUCCCCCGGGUCGGCCCCCUCCGCACCCCGAUCGACUGAGGCCCGGAGAGUUCAGGAACCGGCUCGGGAGACCUCAGCGCCCGAACUCGGAGUUUUCGGACUUUUCAGGCCUCUGCCAAGGGCUUGGACUCGCAGGUGAAAGGACGGGCUCAUCUCACUUUUUUGUCCUGAGAGGAGCUACCAGUGAAUCUGGUGCCAAGGCAAGAGAGGAAAAGUCGAUUUCUUAUCUUUCUGAGACUGGCGGUGGCCCUUGCCAAUUCAAGAUGGUGGAAAGCUGCACUUGAAGUCCAACUCUGUCCUGGGGGAAUAAUUAUGUUCCCUGUCUUGGGAGCCUUUCUUCAGGGAGCUUGAUGGUUCCAACCCACCCAGGAGCCUGGGACAUCUGUGCCCCUGGGCAAUCCCCUGCAGUUUCCUGAUUCCAAGAUGAGGGGGUAGAAUCCGAAGAUCUCCAAGGCCUUGAUGAGUGCUACCAGUCUGCAAAUUCCCAAGCCAAGUUCUUCAAUGAAUCAAAUUUCCUCCAGUAGCCAUUUCUACCAAAGGAGCAACUGUUUUUCCUUCCCACUGACAUGGCUAUGUAUUCGAACUGGAUAUAGGUGAGAGGCAUUUUUGUCCUAGCUUCUCGGGCCCCUCCAAGGAGCUCCAAGAGGCUUAAGGAUCCCAGCCAUGUUGGGAUAAAAAUACCCAAUCAAUCAAUAAACAUUUUAUUUAAAAAUGAUUUAUUUAAAAAAUCACACAAUUUGAGAGCAAAUACAGAAGAUAUGAAUUAGCAAAACGAACAAAAUUAAAAUCUCAUACAAUCGCAGGACACUGGGACCUGAAGUCUUGGAGAGGAUGUAAUCACUAAGUCAUCCCAAGGAAGAGUGGGAUGCCUACAAGAGAGGGAUGCCUACAAGAGAGGGAUGCCUAAAUUGGUUACCCCUAAGCCCACCGACUUUUAAGGCAUGUGUAAGUGAGUGGGAACCUGCAAAAAGACUGGAAGGAGCAGCCAGAGAGGUAGGAAGAAAACCAGGAGUGCCUGUUGUCACGGAAGCUGAGGGCAAGGAGGACAGUGGUUGGGAGAAUCUGAUGCAGCAGCUCCAAGGACCAUGGCCCCAGGAACUAGGCACAAGUGACAGGAGACACUUGCUAUGUCUAAACCCAGUGCACCCUCAGCCCGGCCUCGCCUUUUCAAGGACGGCUAGCACAGGCCAUCAUCCUGGCCCACGAUGAAGGUGAGCAUCAAACUCCAAUUUCUGAAGAGGAAACUGAAGACCAGAGAGGGGAGGUAAACAUCCCAAAGUCACCAGCAAGUCAGUGGGAGACACAACUUUAACCCUAGUUUUGACUGGCAGUCUGUGGGCAUCGAGGCCACCAUUCCAUGUACCUAAUGUGUGUCUGGCAGUGUUCCAGGCCUCACCUGCAUCAUUUCUAAUCCUCUCAACCAGAGGAUCAGAGAGGUGGCGUUUUUACCCCUAGUACACAGAGGAGGCGCUUGGGGUUCAGAGGCACGUGUGGAACUAGACCGACGCCACUCACCCCAGCAGGUGGCCAAGCGGGAUGGGAGCGCGGGUCUCCCCAUCCCCAGCGGUGACGGGCGGCGGCUCUUUCCUG
Molecule: long non-coding RNA, 1652 nt
Filed under: Homo sapiens (human)
Lineage: Eukaryota; Metazoa; Chordata; Mammalia; Primates; Hominidae
Description: non-protein coding PTCSC2:6
Source: RNAcentral